Molecule: ribosomal RNA, 704 nt
Filed under: uncultured bacterium
Lineage: Bacteria
Description: bacterial SSU rRNA
Rfam family: Bacterial small subunit ribosomal RNA
Source: RNAcentral
GUUAUUGAUCAUGGCUCAGAUUGCNCGCUCGGUUUGCACAGCUUAACACAUGCAAGUCGAGCGGGAAGGGUAGCUUGCUACCUAACCUAGCGGCGGACGGGUGAGUAAUGCUUAGGAAUCUGCCAUUUAGUGGGGGACAACAUUCCGAAAGGAAUGCUAAUACCGCAUACGUCCUACGGGAGAAAGCAGGGGAUCUUCGGACCUUGCGCUAAAUGAUGAGCCUAAGUCGGAUUAGCUAGUUGGUGGGGUAAAGGCCUACCAAGGCGACGAUCUGUAGCGGGUCUGAGAGGAUGAUCCGCCACACUGGGACUGAGACACGGCCCAGACUCCUACGGGAGGCAGCAGUGGGGAAUAUUGGACAAUGGGCGGAAGCCUGAUCCAGCCAUGCCGCGUGUGUGAAGAAGGCCUUUUGGUUGUAAAGCACUUUAAGCGAGGAGGAGGCUACUAGUACUAAUACUACUGGAUAGUGGACGUUACUCGCAGAAUAAGCACCGGCUAACUCUGUGCCAGCAGCCGCGGUAAUACAGAGGGUGCGAGCGUUAAUCGGAUUUACUGGGCGUUAAGCGUGCGUAGGCGGCUUUUAAGUCGGAUGUGAAUCCCCGAAGCUUAAACUUUGGGAAUUGCAUUCGAUUACUGGGAAGGCCUAAGAAGUAUUGGGAGAGGGAUUGGGUUGCAAUUCCNAGGUGUUACCGGUGAAAAUNGCG